This 439-nucleotide long non-coding RNA is filed under the name Homo sapiens (human). RNAcentral's name for it is "HSALNT0369528". The record is from RNAcentral. Lineage: Eukaryota; Metazoa; Chordata; Mammalia; Primates; Hominidae.
AAUACCACUUUCUGCUAUUAUUUUCAAUAAUAAUAGCAGAGUAUGAAGAGAAAUGAAGAAUGAGAAAUGAGAUUUCGUAUGAAGAAAUGAGAAAUGAAGCAGUGAAGUGCUGGGCAUUGUCUGGCAAACACUUUCAGGGAUGGCCUGAACUAUACAGACCAGAAAAACAGUGUUGCUGUCCCCUUCAAGGCCAGAGUGAUGGUAGGCAUGGCAGUCACCAGCUAAGUUUAGUUGUGUGCAGCAGAAAGAUAACUUCAUUAGCAUCAUUUGUAAAAGUCGGUGUGGGAGCACCAAUGAGGCCUAGAAGAAAGAAAGCGUGGAACCUGUUCUAAGCGUUUAUCAUCCUGAGGUACUCUCAGAGAAUUAAUCAAAAUCAUUUGAGUGAAUGAGUAAUUUCUGGUGAUGAAAUUGAAAGGAUCCAGUGACAUUAUUACUUGGA